This 392-nucleotide ribosomal RNA is filed under the name uncultured bacterium. RNAcentral's name for it is "bacterial SSU rRNA". It matches the Rfam family "Bacterial small subunit ribosomal RNA", at positions 28 to 412 of the family's 1533-position model. The record is from RNAcentral.
GACGAACGCUGGCGGCGUGCUUAACACAUGCAAGUCGAGCGGUAAGGCCCUUUCGGGGGUACACGAGCGGCGAACGGGUGAGUAACACGUGGGUAACCUGCCCGGAAGUGGGGAAUACCUCGGGGAAACUCGAGCUAAUACCGCAUGACAUCUUUGGGACGAAAGUCCUGACGAUCAAAGCGGGGUCGCAAGAUCUCGCGCUACCGGAUGGGCCCGCGCCCGAUUAGCUAGUUGGUGAGGAACGGCUCACCAAGGCUUCGAUCGGUAACCGCCUGAGAGGCGAUCGGUCACACCGGAACUGAGACACGGUCCGGACUCCUACGGGAGGCAGCAGUGGGGAAUCUUGCGCAAUGGGCGAAAGCCUGACGCAGCAACGCCGCGUGGAGGAUGAA